UGAACGCUGGCGGCGUGCCUAAUACAUGCAAGUCGAGCGAACAGACGAGGAGCUUGCUCCUCUGACGUUAGCGGCGGACGGGUGAGUAACACGUGGAUAACCUACCUAUAAGACUGGGAUAACUUCGGGAAACCGGAGCUAAUACCGGAUAAUAUAUUGAACCGCAUGGUUCAAUAGUGAAAGACGGUUUUGCUGUCACUUAUAGAUGGAUCCGCGCCGCAUUAGCUAGUUGGUAAGGUAACGGCUUACCAAGGCAACGAUGCGUAGCCGACCUGAGAGGGUGAUCGGCCACACUGGAACUGAGACACGGUCCAGACUCCUACGGGCGGCAGCAGUAGGGAAUCUUCCGAAAUGGGCGAAAGCCUGACGGAGCAACGCCGCGUGAGUGAUGAAGGUCUUCGGAUCGUAAAACUCUGUUAUUAGGGAAGAACAAAUGUGUAAGUAACUAUGCACGUCUUGACGGUACCUAAUCAGAAAGCCACGGCUAACUACG
RNAcentral lists this ribosomal RNA (493 nucleotides) under uncultured bacterium. RNAcentral's name for it is "partial 16S ribosomal RNA". It matches the Rfam family "Bacterial small subunit ribosomal RNA", at positions 30 to 505 of the family's 1533-position model. The record is from RNAcentral.